This 96-nucleotide transfer RNA is filed under the name Mycobacterium attenuatum. Its description in RNAcentral is "Mycobacterium sp. MK41 tRNA-Pro". Lineage: Bacteria; Bacillati; Actinomycetota; Actinomycetes; Mycobacteriales; Mycobacteriaceae. The record is from RNAcentral.
GGUGUUCGGGGUGGCCGGAAGCGUCGUGGCCGCAGUGGGCGCGGUAGGGGGCGGACUGAUCGACCACCGGAUCGGCUCGAAGCCGGUGAUCGUCGC